RNAcentral lists this ribosomal RNA (424 nucleotides) under uncultured prokaryote. RNAcentral describes it as "bacterial SSU rRNA". It matches the Rfam family "Bacterial small subunit ribosomal RNA", at positions 355 to 796 of the family's 1533-position model. The record is from RNAcentral.
UGGGGAAUAUUGGACAAUGGGCGAAAGCCUGAUCCAGCAAUGCCGCGUGAGUGAUGAAGGCCUUAGGGUUGUAAAGCUCUUUUACCAGGGAUGAUAAUGACAGUACCUGGAGAAUAAGCUCCGGCUAACUCCGUGCCAGCAGCCGCGGUAAUACGGAGGGAGCUAGCGUUGUUCGGAAUUACUGGGCGUAAAGCGCGCGUAGGCGGCCUAUCAAGUCAGGGGUGAAAUCCCGGGGCUCAACCCCGGAACUGCCCUUGAAACUGGUAAGCUAGAAUCCUGGAGAGGCGAGUGGAAUUCCGAGUGUAGAGGUGAAAUUCGUAGAUAUUCGGAAGAACACCAGUGGCGAAGGCGACUCGCUGGACAGGUAUUGACGCUGAGGUGCGAAAGCGUGGGGAGCAAACAGGAUUAGAUACCCCCGUAGUCC